GACGAACGCUGGCGGCGUGCCUAAUACAUGCAAGUAGAACGCACAGUUUAUACCGUAGCUUGCUACACCAUAAACUGUGAGUUGCGAACGGGUGAGUAACGCGUAGGUAACCUGCCUGGUAGCGGGGGAUAACUAUUGGAAACGAUAGCUAAUACCGCAUAAUAUUGAUUAUUGCAUGAUAAUUGAUUGAAAGAUGCUAUUGCAUCACUACCAGAUGGACCUGCGUUGUAUUAGCUAGUAGGUGAGGUAACGGCUCACCUAGGCGACGAUACAUAGCCGACCUGAGAGGGUGAUCGGCCACACUGGGACUGAGACACGGCCCAGACUCCUACGGGAGGCAGCAGUAGGGAAUCUUCGGCAAUGGACGAAAGUCUGACCGAGCAACGCCGCGGGAGUGAAGAAGGUUUUCGGAUCGUAAAGCUCUGUUGUAAGAGAAGAACGGGUGUGAGAGUGGAAAGUUCACACUGUGACGGUAGCUUACCAGAAAGGGACGGCUAACUACGUG
Molecule: ribosomal RNA, 505 nt
Filed under: uncultured bacterium
Lineage: Bacteria
Description: partial 16S ribosomal RNA
Rfam family: Bacterial small subunit ribosomal RNA
Source: RNAcentral